Molecule: long non-coding RNA, 3170 nt
Filed under: Canis lupus familiaris (dog)
Lineage: Eukaryota; Metazoa; Chordata; Mammalia; Carnivora; Canidae
Description: lncRNA (ENSCAFG00845029203.1)
Source: RNAcentral
UUUUUUUUUUUUAGAAUUUUUUUUUUGUAUGUCUUAUCCUAGUCUAGAAACUAGUAGGUCCCCUACUUCCCCACUGCGUUUCCCCUCAGCCAGAUGUGUCUGACCCAGAGGCAGUUUGGGUUCUUUGGCAGAGGACGCAGCCCGGGCCACCCUCUGCUGGAACAGGUACACUGUUAGCACCUCCAAAACUGAGUGCAGCUCUCGUGGGGGCAUUCCUCUAAUCGGCCAGAAGGACACACAAGAAUGUCACGGCACCACACUCAGGCCGACAAAACGUACAGAGAGCACAAAACAAAUGCCAGCCUGAGAGCGGCUGAGCCCUGUGGCUGGAUCCCAGUACCCGCAUCAGAGCCCCGCAGCCUCACGUGCUGUUUCCACCAUGAACUGCAACAGGGGCCUCAUGCUGGGAAAGGGAGAAAAGACUUGGGGUUUCGGUUGUGCCUGGAUGCUGUUCUGUAUCCCAAGGGUCCCAACGGAAAAUCAGUAAGGAGAGAUCCUCUAUCGACAGGUUAACGGUGACCCUCUGAUUUCUUGGAGGGGGGAAAAACUUCCAUCACAGAGCCUCCCCCGUCCUAGAACUAACCUAACUUCUUAAAAGACUUAUGCAAUCACAGUUGGACACUCCCUCUUAGGAUCUGGCCCCCCCUAAAUCCCAUCUCUCCUGAACAGCAGGUGCCUGGCCUCAACACUGAACCAUGCCGGCUCUGUCUAGAGGUGUGGAGUCUUGGGACGUUUCCUGGCACUUGUGAGGUUUGUAACAGGCAGGUCACCAAAGCCACUUCUCGGCUGGCGUGGCUUUCCCUGAGCUGCUGUGCACCCCCAGCAAGAGGUCAAGGAAUAUCUCAUUCCUGUGUAUUAGUGGCUACUCCUUCGACCUCUUGCUCUUGAGUUACAAGGGGUUGGGAAACGUAUCUCUUAGGGGUAGUCUGCUGGUUCUCUACCUUUGUCUCAGUUUAAAAUGACCCUCAGCAGAUUCAUGAAUUUCCAAAAAUGCAUGUGCACCACUGGGGGCCAGAAAAAAAAUCAAUGUGCCUGUAGACCACACGCUCUCCCUGCAAAUCUUCGCAUCCCUCAACUUUUGAAUUUUCCAGGCUUUGACUAACCUGUUCUAUUUUCCUAGCAGUACAAUUUCCUUCUUUCCUCAUUUUUCUAUCACAUAAAGGUAAGUCUCUGAGUGCUCUGGUUCCUCUGUUUUCCUCCUCCUUCUCAGCGGGCCAAGUGAAGCUUAGAGAAAUUCUAACCUACUUUCUAAGUUGAUUCUCUUUCUUCUAACCCUGUGGAGCUAACCCCGUUUGCUGGAUCAUCGUGCUCUCCUUCCCUGUUCUUUGCUCCCUGCCCAAGCACACUUCCUUCGAGAUUUUAUCUUGUGCUGCCCCCGGCCUGAGAGGGAAGAACUCGGUCAGUUCCAGGCCUGCCGAAAGUAAAGGCAGCCCAGCACCCAGAAGAUCUCUCCCCGGCUGUUUAUAGGAAAUCCAGGCCUAAUUUCAGUCAUGUUGGCCUCUCCGGCUGAAACUCUGUCAUCUGUCCUAAAUCCCUCUGCUCCACCGAUGUCCUAGCCACGCUCCCCUCACAGCAUACACCAUACCUGUUGGCACAAGUUGUUGUGUUACCUUGAAAACUAAAUAAAUAUGUUGUGUUGUGAUUCUCUUAGCUGUCUGAGCAGAUACCACAUAACCACCCUCACCCUAUGCUGUCCCAGGCUUUAGGGAGGCUCCCGUUUGCUCUUACGAUUGACCCACCCCAUUGCCAUGCUGCCAAGAAGUCUCUCAACAAUGCUUCUCUGGGAAACAUUCUGGUCCACACAGAAUGUACUGCUUAACGUGACUAAAAUUUUAGGGGAGAAAUGCAACCUCUGAUGGGGCAACUACCAAACUACCCUUUCGCUUUUAGUUCUUCCUUUAAAAGCACUUAGAUCUGGAUGCGUGUUUCUCCCAUUCACAUCUGUGUUCUCUGAGUCAGUCCUAAGCCUCUGGGUUAAGAAAAUGCCCUUCCUGCUCUUCUUCUAUCUCAAUGGGUACAUCUUCCUACAGUUUCUCCCUCACUUUUCAACUGCUCCUCUCUGACUUAACCACAAAAACUUGUUUUCUUAAGAACUAAUUCUACUCCAACGUAACUGACCAAACCCCAUUCCUAAAAGCCGUCUGUUCCAGACAUAGGAGGUUUGAAUGCUUUCUCCAUUUCAUAUGCUUUCCUGUCUCCACCCACCAAGAUGACACGCUGCUGAUAGAGGAAAUCUUACUCCUUUUCAUCUGUUCAUUGAUUUAAAAUGCACCAUUUAUCUGUAAUUGAUCUCAGCACUGGUCUCAGAAACCUACACCUGCUCUCAGGGCUUAUGAAGGGAACAAUCUAGAACCAACUUGAGAACCUGUAGAUAGGAAUCCACAACCUCUGGAAACUGAAGGAGGCCAAGGCUUUCCCUGGAUGAAAUACAAAAUGAAACAGAGACAGAAUUUGGGAGAGGUGACCUAGCACUCUCUGUCAAAGCCCUAGUGCUAACAAUCUAAAGGCCAAACAGCACGUGCUAAUGUUCUGGAUGCUCAAUUCAACUGUGUUUUGUAACUUGAGGUCCCAGUAAUACAAUGUCAGCCUGUCACUGCAGUGUCAUGCACUGCAACCUUCUAGGUCAAAGCUUGGCACAUGAGCUCAUGUGAGCAAGUACUCAGAUGCUCCAGAGGGUAGACUUCUUUCUAAGUGGCACAAGGAGUACACGGAGAUGCUUGAUGCCCAAAUCCUACUCCUGGCCCUUCUUGUUCUCUUCCUGUCUAGAAAGCCCGAGAACAGAAGUAUCAAAUGAUAAACAUAAACUGGAGCUCCUACUUGUUGAUCUGGGCUACUUGUAGUCUAACCUCACGUAAGUGAAGCAGCUGUGCCCUGAGGCAGGUCUUACAUAGGUGGUCUUAGACUGAAAAGCUAGAGAGGGGCCUCCCACAAUGAGAAUAAAGGCAGAGCAAAUGAAUUUAAUUCAUUUAAAAAAGAAAAAAAAAAAGCAAAGAAUAACUCACUGACUCCUUAACCUGGAAGACACUGGGACAACAUUGAAUGCAGAGCUCAGGGGUCAUGGUAGGCGCUACCAGGAUGAUCUGAACCCCUUUUCCCCUUCCCUAUCCCAAGCCCAGAAGAGCUAGCGCCUCCUCAGACAGGCUGGACCUCCUGGAGGGUCAUCACUUAUG